GUGGCACAAUUGGCUAGCGCGUGAGACUUUUAAUCUCAAGGUUGAGAGUUCGAGCCUCGUAAGUUGAUUCG
This 71-nucleotide transfer RNA is filed under the name Pseudocercospora fijiensis CIRAD86. RNAcentral's name for it is "tRNA-Lys (TTT) (tRNA-Lys-TTT-1-1)". The stretch from base 2 to 60 matches the Rfam family "tRNA", at positions 8 to 63 of the family's 71-position model. Rfam says of the family: Transfer RNA (tRNA) molecules are approximately 80 nucleotides in length. Their secondary structure includes four short double-helical elements and three loops (D, anti-codon, and T loops). The record is from RNAcentral. Lineage: Eukaryota; Fungi; Ascomycota; Dothideomycetes; Mycosphaerellales; Mycosphaerellaceae.